GAUGAACGCUGGCGGCGUGCCUAAUACAUGCAAGUCGAGCGAACAGACGAGGAGCUUGCUCCUCUUACGUUAGCGGCGGACGGGUGAGUAACACGUGGAUAACCUACCUAUAAGACUGGGAUAACUUCUGGAAACCGGAGCUAAUACCGGAUAAUAUAUUUAACCGCAUGGUUCAAUAUUGAAAGACGGUUUUGCUUUCACUUAUAGAUGGAUCCGCGCCGCAUUAGCUAGUUGGUAAGGUAACGGCUUACCAAGGCAACGAUGCGUAGCCGACCUGAGAGGGUGAUCGGCCACACUGGAACUGAGACACGGUCAAGACUCCUACGGGAGGAAGAAGUAGGGAAUCUUCCGCAAUGGGCGAAAGCCUGACGGAGCAACGCCGCGUGAGGGAUGAAGGUCUUCGGAUCGUAAAACUCUGUUAUUAGGGAAGAACAAAUGUGUAAGUAACUAUGCACGUCUUGACGGUACCUAAUCAGAAAGCCACGGCUAACUACGUG
This 497-nucleotide ribosomal RNA is filed under the name uncultured bacterium. RNAcentral's name for it is "partial 16S ribosomal RNA". It matches the Rfam family "Bacterial small subunit ribosomal RNA", at positions 28 to 507 of the family's 1533-position model. The record is from RNAcentral.